GGCGAACGCUGGCGGCGUGCUUAACACACGCAAGUCGAACGAUGAAGCCGGAGCUUGCUCCGGCGGAUUAGUGGCGAACGGGUGAGUAACACGUGAGUAACCUGCCCUUGACUCUGGGAUAAGCGUUGGAAACGACGUAUAAUACCGGAGACGAACCGCGACGGCAUCGUCUGCGGUUGGAAAGAAUUUCGGUCAAGGAUGGACUCGCGGCCUAUCAGCUUGUUGGUGAGGUAAUGGCUCACCAAGGCGACGACGGGUAGCCGGCCUGAGAGGGUGACCGGCCACACUGGAACUGAGACACGGUCCAGACUCCUACGGGAGGCAGCAGUGGGGAAUAUUGCACAAUGGGCGAAAGCCUGAUGCAGCAACGCCGCGUGAGGGAUGACGGCCUUCGGGUUGUAAACCUCUUUUAGCAGGGAAGAAGCGAAAGUGACGGUACCUGCAGAAAAAGCACCGGCUAACUACGUGCCAGCAGCCGCCGUAA
RNAcentral lists this ribosomal RNA (484 nucleotides) under uncultured bacterium. RNAcentral describes it as "partial 16S ribosomal RNA". It matches the Rfam family "Bacterial small subunit ribosomal RNA", at positions 28 to 523 of the family's 1533-position model. The record is from RNAcentral.